GAGAACCGUAACACAGGUGCUGCAUGGCUGUCGUCAGCUCGUGUCGUGAGAUGUUGGGUUAAGUCCCGCAACGAGCGCAACCCUUGUCAUUAGUUGCUACAUUCAGUUGGGCACUCUAAUGAGACUGCCGGUGACAAACCGGAGGAAGGUGGGGAUGACGUCAAGUCCUCAUGGCCCUUAUAGGUGGGGCUACACACGUCAUACAAUGGCUGGUACAAAGGGUUGCCAACCCGCGAGGGGGAGCUAAUCCCAUAAAACCAGUCGUAGUCCGGAUCGCAGUCUGCAACUCGACUGCGUGAAGUCGGAAUCGCUAGUAAUCGUGGAUCAGAAUGUCACGGUGAUACGUUCCCGGGUCUUGUACACACCGCCCGUCACACCAUGGGACGGGGUCUCGCCAGAAGUAGUUGCCUAACCGCAAGGAGGGCGAU
RNAcentral lists this ribosomal RNA (428 nucleotides) under uncultured beta proteobacterium. RNAcentral describes it as "bacterial SSU rRNA". It matches the Rfam family "Bacterial small subunit ribosomal RNA", at positions 1022 to 1454 of the family's 1533-position model. The record is from RNAcentral. Lineage: Bacteria; Pseudomonadati; Pseudomonadota; Betaproteobacteria.